AUAUGUAUAUAAUUUUACUAUUCAUAAUAUACUUUAUAUUUAUUUACUUUACAUGCAGCUACACAAGUACAGACAUUUUGUUUAGAGGUCAUUACAUAAACAAUGUAUAUAGAAAAGGCAGAAUCAAUUGGUUCCAUUGAGGAAAAGGGACAAAAGAGCACUGAUAAUAAUAAUGGGAAGUUGUUAAAAAAAAUUGUAUUAUAUCGUGGUUAUGAUUCUUGUAAUGAAGUAGUAUAUGAUGCCAGAAAAAGCAAAAAAAACAAUUAAUUCAAGUCAAGAUGAAUUUAACAGCUGUGCGUUUAAGUUAAAGAUGAACACUAAAUUUGUUGAUGUUGAGAAAUUUGAAGGGCAAAAAAAAAAAUUAUUAAAUAAUGACUUUAAUUCAGAUACCACUAAACAAUUUAGUAUAUUAAAAACUAAGCAAAAAACCCAAAAGUUAUUGGUUAAACAACAAAAAAAUUCCAAUAGAAAAUUGAUUUCCUUGGUAAAUUUUACGAAAUAUGACGACUUAUCAAAGUGUGCAUCAAAAGCAAGUGAAACAGAAAAAGAAGCCACAAGAAUUGAUUUAGUAGAAAAUAUUAAAGUAAACACUCAUGAAGAUAAUAUUGAAAUAAUAAAUUUAUUAAAAAAAAAAAAAAGUAUAAAACAUAAAAUUGAUAUGUUUUUAAGCAAAAAAACAAUAAAAUUAAAAGUUGCAAUAGAAAAAAUUAUCCAAAAUGAUAAAAAGGGUGAUAUAAUCAAAUCAAAGUUAGUCAGUCCAGAUCACAAGGUUUGUGAUAAUAAAGGUAAAAAAAUUAUAAUUAAUGGUCAUUUAUUUGUGCUUGAAGAUAAUAAUGACGAUAUAUUUUUAUCACUUCUAAGUAAAUUUAGUGAUUUUUUAAAUAAAUCACGUUCAGGGGACAAAUGUUAUAAUCCAUUAUUCGAAGUUAGCAACUAUAAUAUAGCUGAGAUAGAGGGUUGUAGUGAAUCUGUAUUUACAGCUAAACAUGAAACAACAAGUAAUCUGAAUCCAUUUGUUGAUUUUUCUAAAUUACAAGAUUUCAUCAAUAAAAAAGAAAGUUCUAAUGUAUCAAAUUAUAUAUUUAAUGUAUUGUACGAAUCUGAUUUUUUAAUAUUAAAUAAUUAUAGUGAUGGGUUCUUAAAAGACUUAAAAAAAUAUUAUGGUUAUGAUGUCAAUUUCGCUGACGAAUAUGAAUAUGGUGAAGAUGGUGAAGAUGGUGAAG
Molecule: long non-coding RNA, 1223 nt
Filed under: Piliocolobus tephrosceles (Ugandan red Colobus)
Lineage: Eukaryota; Metazoa; Chordata; Mammalia; Primates; Cercopithecidae
Description: lncRNA (ENSPTEG00000005765.1)
Source: RNAcentral